UUGACCUCAAAUACAGGUAGGACUACCCGCUGAACUUAAGCAUAUCAAUAAGCCGGAGGAA
RNAcentral lists this ribosomal RNA (61 nucleotides) under Candida tropicalis. RNAcentral describes it as "partial 28S ribosomal RNA". The record is from RNAcentral. Lineage: Eukaryota; Fungi; Ascomycota; Pichiomycetes; Serinales; Debaryomycetaceae.